UACGUAGGGUCCGAGCGUUGUCCGGAAUUAUUGGGCGUAAAGAGCUCGUAGGCGGUUUGUCGCGUCUGCCGUGAAAGUCCGGGGCUCAACUCCGGAUCUGCGGUGGGUACGGGCAGACUAGAGUGAUGUAGGGGAGACUGGAAUUCCUGGUGUAGCGGUGAAAUGCGCAGAUAUCAGGAGGAACACCGAUGGCGAAGGCGGGUCUCUGGGCCGAUACUGACGCUGAGGAGCGAAAGCGUGGGGAGCGAACAGG
RNAcentral lists this ribosomal RNA (253 nucleotides) under uncultured bacterium. RNAcentral's name for it is "partial 16S ribosomal RNA". It matches the Rfam family "Bacterial small subunit ribosomal RNA", at positions 524 to 776 of the family's 1533-position model. The record is from RNAcentral.